UGGCCAUCCUAAUUGCAGUACAGAAUGUAAGGUUUGUGGUGCAAAACAGCAACAAAGUAACACAUUAGUUUAGACAUGGAGCUGACACAACUCUUCACAAUGAAGAGUACAUGCAUAACAUCUGCUGGGAAUUUUCAUCCCAUUGUGUUCAGUAGAACUAACCCAAAUAGGUGUGCACAGAUCUGACUGCAGCCUUAGUUUUCCUUAGCAUUUCCCCCCUUACGGCUGAGAUGAUUUGAGUGCGAUCAUGCCUCAUUUUAAAACCUUAAUAAACAGCACUUGUUUAAUUCUAAGCACUAUUUCCAACCUUGGCCAGUUCUUUGUCUCCUGCGCUAAGAACUUCCUAGGCUGAUGGGGCUAAGCAGUUAUGAUACAGAUCUUUGGCAAGAGGUGUGGGGUGGGGACAGAACUAGCAACACUAUAAUUCAGUUUCACUGUGGUGUGUCGGUUCUCUGUUUGUCCAAGGCUUGGUGUAAAGCAGCAUGUGGUUUUCUCCCUUGCUUGGUGAUAGGGCUGGAGGUAGGGAGGCAACUCUCUUGAACUGUCUUCUAUUCUCUGUUGCUAUAAGAAUGGACUUGCUCAGAAGAAAGAAGUAGUAGUAACUGGAAACUGAGCCAUGGAUGCCUCAGAGGAAGUGAAGGCAGCAGGAGGAGGGCUGUCCAGAAGGUCCCGGUUCCUCAAAGCAGCCACAACUGUUGCACAUCUCUGUGGACUACUGCUGAGUGGGAAAAGAAGAGGAAAAGGUUUGAAAAGCUCAAGCAUCUGUUACAUAACUGUCCAAAGCAAAGAAAACAGCAAGACCUCUUGCAGAUACAAGAAUACUUGAAGGUAAACAGAGCCUUUCAGUGUCUGCCCAUCAAAACACAACUCCAGCUGUGUCAAGUUGCCAUCUACCAAAAGUAAGUAAGGUACCAGAGCAUUACUUGCAUUUUGAGAAUGGGAUCCAUUCCAUGAACUUCCUUCAGAAAGCUGGGUCAGAAGGUGAAGAUUUUUCAACAAGGCUGAGAUUCUUGUGAUUAAAUAUUUAUCAUAAUUCUGAAGUGCCCUGCUCUGUUAAAAUAAAAUAUUGACAAAUGGAAAGUACGUAGUUCUU
This 1093-nucleotide long non-coding RNA is filed under the name Pogona vitticeps (central bearded dragon). RNAcentral's name for it is "lncRNA (ENSPVIG00000003165.1)". The record is from RNAcentral. Lineage: Eukaryota; Metazoa; Chordata; Lepidosauria; Squamata; Agamidae.